CAGCAGCCGCGGUAAUACGUAGGUGGCAAGCGUUGUCCGGAAUUAUUGGGCGUAAGGGGCUCGCAGGCGGUUUCUUAAGUCUGAUGUGAAAGCCCCCGGCUCAACCGGGGAGGGUCAUUGGAAACUGGGAAACUUGAGUGCAGAAGAGGAGAGUGGAAUUCCACGUGUAGCGGUGAAAUGCGUGGAGAUGCGGAGGAACACCAGUGGCGAAGGCGACUCUCUGGUCUGUAACUGACGCUGAGGAGCGAAAGCGUGGGGAGCGAGCAGGAUUAGAUACCCCUGUAGUCCCUGUCUCUUAUCC
This 301-nucleotide ribosomal RNA is filed under the name uncultured bacterium. RNAcentral describes it as "partial 16S ribosomal RNA". It matches the Rfam family "Bacterial small subunit ribosomal RNA", at positions 509 to 809 of the family's 1533-position model. The record is from RNAcentral.